GACGAACGCUGGCGGCGUGCUUAACACAUGCAAGUCGAACGAGGGUAGCAAUACCCUAGUGGCGGACGGGUGAGUAACGCGUAGGUAACCUGCCUCAUAGUGGGGGAUACCCAGCCGAAAGGUUGGCUAAUACCGCAUAAGCUGGUCAUUUGAGAUAGUGAUCAGGAAAGAUUUAUUGCUAUGAGAGGGGCCUGCGUUCGAUUAGCUAGUUGGUGAGGUAAAGGCUCACCAAGGCGACGAUCGAUAGCUGGUCUGAGAGGACGAUCAGCCACACUGGGACUGAGACACGGCCCAGACUCCUACGGGAGGCAGCAGUGGGGAAUCUUGCGCAAUGGGCGAAAGCCUGACGCAGCAACGCCGCGUGCGGGAUGACGGCCUUCGUGGUUGUAACCGCUUUCAGCAGGGACG
RNAcentral lists this ribosomal RNA (408 nucleotides) under uncultured bacterium. RNAcentral's name for it is "bacterial SSU rRNA". It matches the Rfam family "Bacterial small subunit ribosomal RNA", at positions 28 to 447 of the family's 1533-position model. The record is from RNAcentral.